GCGACCCCAGGUCAGGCGGGAUCACCCGCUGAGUUUAAGCAUAUCAAUAAGCGGAGGAGAAGAAACUAACAAGGAUUCCCUUAGUAGCGGCGAGCGAACCGGGAAGAGCCCAGCUUGAAAAUCGAAUGUCUUUGGCAUUCGAAUUGUAGUCUGGAGAAGCGUCCUCAGCGACGGACCGGGCUCAAGUUCCCUGGAAAGGGGCGCCAGAGAGGGUGAGAGCCCCGUCGUGCCCGGACCCUGUCG
This 243-nucleotide ribosomal RNA is filed under the name Cardamine hirsuta (hairy bittercress). Its description in RNAcentral is "partial 25S ribosomal RNA". It matches the Rfam family "Eukaryotic large subunit ribosomal RNA", at positions 1 to 241 of the family's 3401-position model. Lineage: Eukaryota; Viridiplantae; Streptophyta; Magnoliopsida; Brassicales; Brassicaceae. The record is from RNAcentral.